Molecule: ribosomal RNA, 553 nt
Filed under: uncultured Thermoplasmatales archaeon
Lineage: Archaea; Methanobacteriati; Thermoplasmatota; Thermoplasmata; Thermoplasmatales
Description: bacterial SSU rRNA
Rfam family: Archaeal small subunit ribosomal RNA
Source: RNAcentral
GCGCGAAAACUUUGCACUGUGCGAAAGCACGACAAGGGAAUCCCAAGUGCUAGCUCGUUAGAGUUAGCUGUUUUUCUGUCUAAAAAACAGAGAGAGUAAGGGCUGGGUAAGACGGGUGCCAGCCGCCGCGGUAAUACCUGCAGCCCAAGUGGUGACUGUUAUUAUUGGGCCUAAAACGUCCGUAGCCGGUUUAGUAAAUGCCUAGGUAAAUCGUACGGCUUAACCGUACGAAUUCUGGGUAGACUGCUGAACUUGAGAUCGGGAGAGGCUAGAGGUACUCCUGGGGUAGAGGUGAAAUUCUGUAAUCCUAGGGGGACCACCAGUGGCGAAGGCGUCUAGCUAGAACGAGUCUGACGGUCAGGGACGAAGCCCUGGGGCGCAAACGGGAUUAGAUACCCCGGUAGUCCAGGGUGUAAACGCUGUUCGCUUGAUGUUAGCUGGGCUCCGAGCCCGGCUAGUGUCGGAGAGAAGUUGUUAAGCGAACUGCCUGGGAAGUACGGUCGCGAAGACUGAAACUUAAAGGAAUUGGGCGGGGGAGCACCGCAACGGGAGA